GAGUUUGAUCGUGGCUCAGGAUGAACGCUGGCGGCGUGCCUAAUACAUGCAAGUCGAGCGAACAGACGAGGAGCUUGCUCCUCUGACGUUAGCGGCGGACGGGUGAGUAACACGUGGAUAACCUACCUAUAAGACUGGGAUAACUUCGGGAAACCGGAGCUAAUACCGGAUAAUAUAUUGAACCGCAUGGUUCAAUAGUGGAAGACGGUUUUGCUGUCACUUAUAGAUGGAUCCGCGCCGCAUUAGCUAGUUGGUAAAGUAACGGCUUACCAAGGCAACGAUGCGUAGCCGACCUGAGAGGGUGAUCGGCCACACUGGAACUGAGACACGGUCCAGACUCCUACGGGAGGCAGCAGUAGGGAAUCUUCCGCAAUGGGCGAAAGCCUGACGGAGCAACGCCGCGUGAGUGAUGAAGGUCUUCGGAUCGUAAAACUCUGUUAUUAGGGAAGAACAAAUGUGUAAGUAACUAUGCACGUCUUGACGGUACCUAAUCAGAAGCCACGGCUAACUACGUGCCAGCCC
RNAcentral lists this ribosomal RNA (522 nucleotides) under uncultured microorganism. RNAcentral describes it as "bacterial SSU rRNA". It matches the Rfam family "Bacterial small subunit ribosomal RNA", at positions 9 to 514 of the family's 1533-position model. The record is from RNAcentral.